CUUUCUUGCCUGGAUCUUCUCUCCUCAUUACUAAGUUGAUUUCCCCGUGCAUAAACAUCAUCACGUCCCCUACGAUGUGAAUAACUUUCCUCCUCCAUUCUAUCCCUUCUCUUCUGCAGUUCACUUGUUCCGAACUGCAUCUUUUAGUUGGUACUCUUUGUCAGAACCUCUGUAUUCAUCCUUCACCCUAGACUGGCCAAUCCAUGCUUUAUCAUCUGCACCACGCCCAGUCCUUA
This 236-nucleotide unclassified non-coding RNA is filed under the name Hevea brasiliensis (rubber tree). Lineage: Eukaryota; Viridiplantae; Streptophyta; Magnoliopsida; Malpighiales; Euphorbiaceae. The record is from RNAcentral.